GCCCGUGUAUCACAAUGGAUAGUGUCCCUCCCUCCGAAGGAGGUUAUUCCGGUUCGAUUCCGGACAUGGGUA
Fibrobacter sp. is the source of this 72-nucleotide non-coding RNA. NCBI's taxonomy places the organism in Bacteria, Pseudomonadati, Fibrobacterota, Fibrobacteria, Fibrobacterales, Fibrobacteraceae. The record is from Rfam.